This 354-nucleotide RNase P RNA is filed under the name Luteimonas sp. BLCC-B24. Its description in RNAcentral is "RNase P RNA component class A". It matches the Rfam family "Bacterial RNase P class A". From Rfam's summary of the family: Ribonuclease P (RNase P) is a ubiquitous endoribonuclease, found in archaea, bacteria and eukarya as well as chloroplasts and mitochondria. Its best characterised activity is the generation of mature 5'-ends of tRNAs by cleaving the 5'-leader elements of precursor-tRNAs. Cellular RNase Ps are ribonucleoproteins. Lineage: Bacteria; Pseudomonadati; Pseudomonadota; Gammaproteobacteria; Lysobacterales; Lysobacteraceae. The record is from RNAcentral.
GGAGUCGGCCGGACAGUCGCGUCAUCAGCACCAUCGAUGCCGAGGAAAGUCCGGGCUCCACAGGGCACGGUGCCAGGUAACGCCUGGGCGGCGCGAGCCGACGGAAAGUGCAACAGAAAGAUACCGCCCAAGACUGCCUCGAGCAGGACGGCAAGGGUGAAAUGGUGCGGUAAGAGCGCACCGCGAGCCUGGUAACAGGCCGGCACGGCAAACCCCACCGGGAGCAAGACCAAAUAGGGACCUCAUGACGUGGCCCGCGUCGGGUCCGGGUAGGUUGCUCGAGCGUAUCGGUGACGAUGCGCCUAGAGGAAUGACUGUCCACGACAGAACCCGGCUUACAGGCCGGCUCCGCCA